This 109-nucleotide non-coding RNA is filed under the name Bacillus sp. (in: firmicutes). RNAcentral's name for it is "Bacillus sp. SAM-I sequence". It matches the Rfam family "SAM riboswitch aptamer (S box leader)". From Rfam's summary of the family: The SAM riboswitch is found upstream of a number of genes which code for proteins involved in methionine or cysteine biosynthesis in Gram-positive bacteria. The SAM riboswitch acts at the level of transcription termination control. The predicted structure consists of a complex stem-loop region followed by a single stem loop terminator region. Lineage: Bacteria; Bacillati; Bacillota; Bacilli; Caryophanales; Bacillaceae. The record is from RNAcentral.
UUCUUAUCGAGAGAGAUGGAGGGACUGACCCGAUGAUAUCUCAGCAACCAGCAAUACGAUUGCCCGGUGCUAAUUUCAGAAGAAUACGGAAGUAUUCUAAAGAUGAGAA